AUUGAACGCUGGCGGCAGGCUUAACACAUGCAAGUCGAGCGGGGUGAUGGUGCUUGCACUAUCACUUAGCGGCGGACGGGUGAGUAAUGCUUAGGAAUCUGCCUAUUAGUGGGGGACAACAGCUCGAAAGGGAUGCUAAUACCGCAUACGUCCCACGGGAGAAAGCAGGGGAUCACUUGUGACCUUGCGCUAAUAGAUGAGCCUAAGUCGGAUUAGCUAGUUGGUGGGGUAAAGGCCUACCAAGGCGACGAUCUGUAGCGGGUCUGAGAGGAUGAUCCGCCUCACUGGGACUGAGACACGGCCCAGACUCCUACGGGAGGCAGCAGUGGGGAAUAUUGGACAAUGGCGGAAGCCUGAUCCAGCCAUGCCGCGUGUGUGAAGAAGGCCUUAUGGUUGUAAAGCACUUUAAGCGAGGAGGAGGCUACUUUAGUUAAUACCUAGAGAUAGUGGACGUUACUCGCAGAAUAAGCACCGGCUAACUCUGUGCCAGCAGCCGCAGUAA
RNAcentral lists this ribosomal RNA (502 nucleotides) under uncultured bacterium. RNAcentral describes it as "partial 16S ribosomal RNA". It matches the Rfam family "Bacterial small subunit ribosomal RNA", at positions 30 to 523 of the family's 1533-position model. The record is from RNAcentral.